This 301-nucleotide ribosomal RNA is filed under the name uncultured bacterium. RNAcentral's name for it is "partial 16S ribosomal RNA". It matches the Rfam family "Bacterial small subunit ribosomal RNA", at positions 509 to 809 of the family's 1533-position model. The record is from RNAcentral.
CAGUAGCCGCGGGAACACGAAGGGGGCUAGCGUUGUUCGGAUUUACUGGGCGUAAAGGGCGCGUAGGCGGACUGAUAAGUCAGGGGUGAAAUCCCAAGGCUCAACCUUGGAACUGCCUUUGAUACUGUUUGUCUUGAGUUCGAGAGAGGUAAGUGGAACUGCGAGUGUAGAGGUGAAAUUCGUAGAUAUUCGCAAGAACACCAGUGGCGAAGGCGGCUUACUGGCUCGAAACUGACGCUGAGGCGCGAAAGCGUGGGGAGCAAACAGGAUUAGAUACCCGUGUAGUCCCUGUCUCUUAUAA